CUGAACGCUUCUCAAACUGUAGGGUCCUUGAUCCUACCGGAAGGGUGAGCUCAGUGCCUGACCUCUGGAAGUCAACACUCAUACUUUCUGGUUUGUCAAAGCCAUUUUGUCUUAAGUUUUCUCCAGUCCCUCAUCUCAGCGCUAUGCGGGUUCAUCACUGCCACCACUGUGGCACACGUUCUGACUACGGCCCUGAUCCAGAGUAAUAAGAAAGAGUCUGUCAACUACUUCAGCAGCAGCAACCGUAUAAUCCAUCUCAGGUAGUAUUUUACUUGAACUUUGAAAAUCGUAUUUUAAAGGCAUAUUUAUUCAAGCACUCAUUAGAUAUUGAACGGCUGUAAGUGAUGUGUACUAUUAUUGUUUUAAGCAUUAUUUACAUUUAUUUAACAGACUUGUCUGUCCUGUGAAGUGCUCCGGUAAAGUCUGACAUUCUGACUGAUAAUAACGGGAAAGUAAUGGAUUUUUUAUUCGCAAUCAAAGCAACGCAGUUUAACCCAAAAUACAAGCGGAGGCACGCAACUUGCGGUCCGGUUCCGUAACCGCGGCGCGCACGUCACUACCCGUGAGUGUAUUAUGGUAAAGCUUAACGGGCUACAAAUUAUGAUCAAACGAGGUGGUUGUUUGAGAUGAAAGAUGCGUCACAAUUAAUGAUGAACAAACAUGAGAUCAGUAUUUAGGCCUGACUGAUUCAUCCCUUCCGUGAUUCCUUCAGUAGUUCCUGUUCACAAAGUUCACAAAGGUUUGCAGAAUUUAUAGAUAUGGUAACAAAUACGACGUAGUUUGUGGUUAUGAUAGCAUAAUAUUUUAUUUGUGCCAAGUUGCAAGUUGUUUUAUUUGUGUCAAAUUCAGUGUUACCUGCAUGCAUCAAUCCAAGGAUCAAAACAAGAAUCAGAAUUUAUGAAUGAUAACAUCCAUCCAUCCAUCCAUUUUUCAAAUCGCUUAUCCUUCUGGGUCGCGAGGGGUCCUAUGGGCAUGAGGCAGGGAACAACCCAGGAUGGGGGGCCAGCCCAUCGCAGGGCACACUCACACACCAUUCACUCACGCAUGCACACCUACGGGCAAUUUAGUACCUCCAAAUAGCCUCAGCAUGUUUUUGGACCAUGGGGGGAAACCGGAGUACCCGGAGGAAACCCCAUGACGACAUGGGGAGAACAUGCAAACUCCACACACACGUAACCCAGGCGGAGACUCCAACCCGGGUCCCAGAGGUGUGAGGUAACAGUGCUAACCACUGCACCACCAUGCUAACCACUGCACCACCAUGCUAACCACUGCACCACCAUGCCGCCUCCUGAAUGAUAGCAUGUUAGGACUAAACGCAAGUUUAAUAGUAACAAUGAUCUUAAUUUUGAUUUGACUCAAACAUUUAAUGACUCCUUCAGAUGGACUUCAGUAUAGUAGUGGCAGCCAGAGGCACCAUAAAGGGGAGGGAAGUUCAGAAGUUCAAAUAGCACAUUUCAUACACGAAGCAGGCAUUCAAGAAAAAAAAUAGUGUAAUCUGAGUAAUGGGGGGGCCUGUGCCCCAGGAAAGAUUUAUGUCCAGCAGGAGCCCUGCUUUUGUCCAAUGUAAUGUAGCGAUAGAGGAUACAUUAGAAGCAUACGACUGUCGACACAUAUGCUGCAGGCUGAGCUUGUAAUGAAUGAUCACAAGCUGAGCAGCGUAAAGCAGCGUGAGGGUCAGCUAUGUAUUGUAUCUGUAUUAUAAGAUGCAGUUCUCCACCUCAGCUCAUAGACAUGCAUUUCAGUAUUAUGGGGGUAUUUCAUGUGAUAUUUUUGUCAAGUUAGAAGUUUAAAUGUGAGAUGCCUGGCGAAGCCGUGUUUGUAAGGUCCAUAACUAACAGUGACUCUGCGUCUAACUCUGUGUCUCCACAUGGGAACAUCUACACCCCUAAUUGUGUCUGCAAGGGCAGCGUGAACUCUGUGAAAUUUACUAAAUGAGGGGCCUGGUUCCCAACCCAUACAGAUGGAGGCUGGUGAUCAAACUUCUCCUGGUCCUCUGGCUUGUACAAUAUCUCCAGUUUGUCUUGGCGACAGAUAUAGAAACUCAUCUUGGAAAGACUGUCACACUGCCCUGUGAUGGACCAAUAGGUGAAGUCAGCGAGGAGGUUGAUGUCUUGUGGCAGUUUAACGGAAUGCCUGCCGCUCGGUUUCACAACGGGACUUGGUGUGAACAUGGUGACUUUGUAGGCCGAACUCAGCUUGGAUCCAUCCGACAGAACAACUUCUCUUUGGUCAUUAACAAUGUCAGACUGGAGGAUCAAGGGGAAUAUAGGUGUCAAAUCAACAGCAAAGAAACGCAACGGUUUCACCUCUUCGUUAAAAGUAAAUCAUUCUUCUGACCUUUCGCCACAUAACUCAGUCUGUCUCCCCUGAUCUGUGUGACCACAUCCCUAACCCAGAAGAUGAGAGCAGCAGGGAGAUCUCUCCGCACCUCGUCUUUAUUCCCAGACCUCCAGGUCCCUUGGUCACCUUGCGUUUCCCCCCCAAACUGCUGUGCCUCUAGUAUUUUAUACGAGUCAGCAGACUCGGCUGAAUGCAGUGCUAGUGGGAGAACAUUCCAAAGCCUUGGAGGAACAGACUGAAAGGCACAAUCCCCAUGUGUGGUUAGCUGGGUACAGGGGACGACGAAGGGGCCCUGUAGCCCAGACCUAAGUACCAGAGAAGCUGCAUAAUGGUGCAUGAGGCCAGUGAUAUAUUCCAGUGCUUUCCAAUGCAUUUAAGAUCAAGGUAGUCGUGUAUGUAGGCCAUACAGAGAGAAACAAGCUUCAGAUGAAAACACCUCAGCGUCCCCUUCAGGAGGACACAUGUUAGUGGGGCUUUGUGUGAUGGGUGGUGUUGUGGCCAGUUUGGUGGCUGCAGUGUUAAUCAUACUACUGAAAAAGAACAGAUGAAACCUGGGCUGAUCCAGCACCAUCUUCUGAGGAUCUUCUGUAGAUGUUCAUGUCUGUUUCCUCAUUCCUUGUGUAACAGGUUGUUAUUUUACUUUUUAAUUUAUAAUUAUACAAGAUUCUGUUUUCCUUUUUCUGUUUUACCUGAUGGGUACAAUAUCCCUUAAACUUCCCAUGAUGCUCUUGUCCUGCAUCGCCCCUCCCUCUGUCUUUUCCCCUUUAUAAGGGUCCCGACCUCAUUUCCUCUUCCCUUUGGUGUAUUGCACACGCGGGAAGAGGUGAGGAUCUAGUGGAAGGGUCCCCCCAGUUAAUAAAUCAAUUGUAUAAUUAUGUUCCAUAUAUCAUAUAUUAUAUUUGAUUUAUUAUAAGUAGGGGAUAUAAAACAUGGCUAUACAUAAGUAUGUACAUCGUUUUACUUUGUGCAGAGACAGCGAGAGGGCCAGAGCAGACGAAGUUUACCCCUUUCCCUAAUGUUCCCAACAGGUUCAAUAAAAAAAUUCGGGAACGACAA
RNA transcript from Brienomyrus brachyistius, 3399 nucleotides. RefSeq lists it as uncharacterized. NCBI's taxonomy places the organism in Eukaryota, Metazoa, Chordata, Actinopteri, Osteoglossiformes, Mormyridae. The transcript is spliced from 6 exons. The record is from RefSeq and is a predicted model, not a curated record.